UUGUGUUUGGGGUAUGUAUGCUUGUUUUUAUUUUUAUUAUUGAUUUUAUUAUUAUUUUAUUAUUUCUAAAAAUGUUUAUCCUGUUUUUAAUACAAUUUCUUUAUAUUCACCUCAUGGGAAGGGGGCCUGAUUUUCUUUGUAUCAGAUCUCUAGACAAAAGAAGUGAAGUGUUGAUCCUGCAAGUUGCUGCUUGUGCUGGCAGGUGAGUGAAUACGCUGCAGCUGGUGGAGAGCCCAAGCUUGCUGCUUCCCACGCCCAUUCCUGAGUUGCAAGGAAGAAACCUCCCCAGAAGCUGGAAGGAAUCCAGAGACAUGGACAAACCCACAGCUGCUCCCUGGAGAGAGCACUUAUUAGGAGAAGCUGGGCUGCUGAGAACAAAGUCAUCACAGAGGGCACCCAAUUCUGUCAGGAGGAGCCAGGGUCGGGGAACAGUUUAUAACUAAUUCUACCAAAAGACACCUGGGGGAUCAAGGGGCUGGACUCUUCUGCUGUCAGAAGUUCCAUUUCUGCAGGAUCAGAUUUGGAUGAUGUUUGGUGUGUCUCUUCUUGGGCUCUGUAUCAGAGGGACUCAUUCCAGGACCCCCGGAGAUACCAAAACCCACAGAUGCUCAAGUCCCUUAUAUAAAAUGGUGUCGUAUUUGCAUAUA
Molecule: long non-coding RNA, 647 nt
Organism: Hippopotamus amphibius kiboko
Lineage: Eukaryota; Metazoa; Chordata; Mammalia; Artiodactyla; Hippopotamidae
Exons: 4
Source: RefSeq, a predicted model, not a curated record